AGGUCCAAUCUAAUUCUGCAUCGUGGUUUAAUUAUGUAGUCUCGCUUUUGGACCAGAUUAAUUCAAAUCCUUUAUUAUCCUUGUGCUUGUAAUAUUACUUAGUUCAAUGCACACGCGAAACGUAAAUGAACACUA
This 135-nucleotide small nucleolar RNA is filed under the name Drosophila sechellia. Its description in RNAcentral is "snoRNA:GM27660". It matches the Rfam family "Small nucleolar RNA psi28S-1192". From Rfam's summary of the family: psi28S-1192 is a member of the H/ACA class of snoRNA. The record is from RNAcentral. Lineage: Eukaryota; Metazoa; Arthropoda; Insecta; Diptera; Drosophilidae.